AUGGGGCUCCGCUGCGCCAUCAAGCUCGGCAUCCCGACCGCCAUCCACCGCCUCGGCGGGGUCACCUCGCUGCCGGACCUGGUGGCCGCGCUGUCACUCCCCGCGAGUAAGCAACCCUUCCUCGGCCGCCUGAUGCGUGUGCUGGUCACGUCGGGCGUCUUUGCAGCCGGCGGCGACUCCGACUCCGAGGCGGAGGUGGAGGAGCUGUUCCGCCUCAACCCGCUGUCGCGCAUCCUGGUGGACGGCGUGGUGGCGGACGAGCACCACAGCCAGACGUCCUUCGUGCUCGCCGCGACGUCGCCCUUCUACACGGAGGCCGCGCUGGGGCUGGCCGAUUGGUUCAGGAAGGACAUCACGGGGCCGGUGCCGUCGCCGUUCGAGGACGUGCAUGGCGCGUCGCUCUUCGACGAGAGCACGGCGCUCCUGGACCAGGAGCUCGACGAGCUGGUCACCGAAGGUUUGGCCGCCCAUGACAACCUCGGGAUUGGCACGAUCAUGCGAGAGUGCCAUGACCUCUUCAAGGGACUCGAGUCCCUUACAGAUUGCUGCGGUGGCGAUGGGACGACGGCGAGGGCCAUCACCAAGGCCCAUCCGCAUGUCAAGUGCAUCGUGCUGGACCUUCCCAAGGUGAUCGACAAAGCUCCUUCUGACGGGAUUGUCAACUAUGUUGCUGGUGACUUGUUCCACUCCGUCCCAAAGUCUCAGGCGGUGAUGCUCAAGCUUGUCCUGCACCACUGGAGUGAUGAGGACUGUGUGAAGAUCUUGUCCCAGUGUAGGGAUGCCAUUCCUUCACAUGAGGAGGGAGGAAAGGUGAUCAUUAUAGAUAUUGUGGUUGGGCCUUCAUUAGGACCAGUAAUGUUUGAGGCCCAGCUUUUGAUGGACAUGCUCAUGCUUGUGAACACAAGAGGCCGUCAACGUACUGAGAAUGACUGGCGUGAGCUCUUCAUGAAGGCAGGGUUCAGUGACUAUAAAAUUGUCAAGAAACUGGGAGCACGAGGUGUCUUUGAGGUCUAUAAGUGA
This 1020-nucleotide ribosomal RNA is filed under the name Triticum aestivum (bread wheat). Its description in RNAcentral is "partial small subunit ribosomal RNA". The record is from RNAcentral. Lineage: Eukaryota; Viridiplantae; Streptophyta; Magnoliopsida; Poales; Poaceae.